Long non-coding RNA from Homo sapiens (human), 455 nucleotides. The record is from Ensembl. NCBI's taxonomy places the organism in Eukaryota, Metazoa, Chordata, Mammalia, Primates, Hominidae.
CUGUGUGAAGUGCUUUAUUUGCAUGAUUUCAUUUGGUCUUCUCAGCAACACUCUGAGAAGGGAGGUGCUGUUAUUGUUCCCAUUCCACAGAUGAGGAAACUGAGGGCCAGCAAGGGAAUGCCACCCAGCAGUGAGCAGCAAAGCCAGGGGGUGCUGAGCCCAGGGGGUGCCCUGUCUGCCUGCAGCUGUUAUUGAAGAUGUCCCUUUUCUCACCGUCAGGUUUUACUGGAACAGAAGAGAAAGCCAGUGAGAUACUAAUCAUUAGCAAUGUUAAUAUUACCUGAUAUUUAGUUGGCUUUAUGCUUUUACAAAAUGUACCUCCCUUUCUGUUGCCAGGAAGAUUCUAGAGCAUGUAGCAAGAAAAGCAAGUAAUUGUCUUUCUCUGCAGCCCUGUGGAAUCGUCGAAAGAGCACAUACUAUACCCUAAAAUUAAACCUAGAUUGAAGUUCUAGCUC